Molecule: ribosomal RNA, 467 nt
Filed under: Enterobacter cloacae
Lineage: Bacteria; Pseudomonadati; Pseudomonadota; Gammaproteobacteria; Enterobacterales; Enterobacteriaceae
Description: bacterial SSU rRNA
Rfam family: Bacterial small subunit ribosomal RNA
Source: RNAcentral
UAACGGUAGCUAAUACCGCAUAACGUCGCAAGACCAAAGAGGGGGACCUUCGGGCCUCUUGCCAUCGGAUGUGCCCAGAUGGGAUUAGCUAGUAGGUGGGGUAACGGCUCACCUAGGCGACGAUCCCUAGCUGGUCUGAGAGGAUGACCAGCCACACUGGAACUGAGACACGGUCCAGACUCCUACGGGAGGCAGCAGUGGGGAAUAUUGCACAAUGGGCGCAAGCCUGAUGCAGCCAUGCCGCGUGUAUGAAGAAGGCCUUCGGGUUGUAAAGUACUUUCAGCGGGGAGGAAGGCGAUAAGGUUAAUAACCUUGUCGAUUGACGUUACCCGCAGAAGAAGCACCGGCUAACUCCGUGCCAGCAGCCGCGGUAAUACGGAGGGUGCAAGCGUUAAUCGGAAUUACUGGGCGUAAAGCGCACGCAGGCGGUCUGUCAAGUCGGAUGUGAAAUCCCCGGGCUCAACCUG